RNA transcript from Monomorium pharaonis (pharaoh ant), 6932 nucleotides. It is a transcript of the gene named cytochrome c1, heme protein, mitochondrial, with no coding region annotated. The record is from RefSeq and is a predicted model, not a curated record. The transcript has 4 exons. NCBI's taxonomy places the organism in Eukaryota, Metazoa, Arthropoda, Insecta, Hymenoptera, Formicidae.
AAUAAAGUAUUUAAAUGCAUUUAAUUAUUAAAUUUUAAAGAACUUUUGUAACAAAUUUUAAUCGUAUGUUUUUUAAACACAUAGAAUAUUUACACGUCAAACACUUAUAUGAAGUUUUUUUUUCUAGGGCGACUAGUUUACUAUUAACAUACUAAUUUUUCUAUUAUUUUUUUCUAUUUCUUGAAACAAUUGUUUAAUCCUGCAUUUAACACAUUAUUUUUUAUGAAUAAUCGCUAUGUGUGUAUACAUACUUCAUAGAGCUAUGCAUAAAGUUAAAUAAUUUCUCACCUCAAGAUUAUAAGUUUCAGUCAAAAGGCAAUUAUAAAAUCGUAACUCAUACGUCAGAGACCCAAAUUGAUAGUUUCAACCUUCAAGUAAAUCAGUUUUAUAACGAUAAAAAUGCAACAGUUUGCAAGAUAAGGUAUUUUACAUGUAAAAAAUCACGCGACACCCAAUAUACUCAUAGAUACUCGAUUCGUUAUACUAUCGAUUGUUUCCCCAAAUCUGUCUCAUAUCAGACUAAUCAGAGAAAAAUGGCUACGCUUCUAACAAAAAGCGCUUCUCUAAAAAGUUAUUUUUCACAACAAAUAAAACAUGGCUUUCAAUGGCAACAAUUUGGUAAAGUUUAUACAUGGUACAACGAUUUCGAAUGCAAGUAUGGUAAAAGGAUUCUGAGGAAUGGUCUAGGCUUGCUGGUAGGCGGGGGUGUGAUCUGUGGGGCGCUUCUUUAUUGCUUAGACCGAUCGGUUCAAGCUAUGAGUCGCGAAGCGCGCCUGCCUAGCUAUCCCUGGGCUUUCGAGAGAUACCUCACAUCUCUAGAUCACUCGGCCGUACGGCGAGGAUGGCAAGUUUACAGAACCGUAUGCCAUACGUGUCACAGCUUACGCUACGUGCGAUUUAUGGAUCUGAUCGAUGUGUCGCACACAAGAGACGAGGUCAAGGCCAUUGCCGCUGAGUACGAGAUUCAAGAUGGACCCGACGAUGAAGGAAAUUACUACAUGAGACCUGGGAAAUUGUCUGAUUUAUUGCCACCUCCUUAUCCAAAUGAGGAAGCUGCUAGGGCGGCUAAUUUUGGUGCAUAUCCACCAGAUCUGACCUAUAUCAUUUUUGCCAGAAAGAACGGUAGAAAUUACUUAUUUUCUGUACUAACGGGAUGGAUGGAGCCACCAGCAGGUGUAUCUUUAACCGACCAACAACAUUUUAAUGUCUACUUUCCCGGAAAUGUAAUGAGUAUGGCGCAGAUGCUAGAUAAUGGGGUAGUGGAAUACGACGAUGGCACUCCAUCAACGACAUCACAAAUGGCAAAGGAUAUAGUCGAGUUUUUAAGCUGGACAUCUUCGCAAAACUUAGACGAACGAAAGCGGAUGUUUGUCAAGGCGAUGGGAAUUAUUUUUAUAUUACUAGCUUCGGUUACUUACUAUACGAAGUACAUUUGGUCGCACUUGAGAAGCAGACAGAUUGUAUAUCUACCUAAGGGAAAAUAUUAAGAAAGAUUUUCGCAAAAAUUUUUCAGUAGUAUAUUCGACGAAAAAAUAUUUAAACAAAAGUUUUUUUCUUAAUCGACAUUGAAAAAAGUAAAAUUAAAUUACACCGAUUCAUAAAUGUUUCAUUAAAUUUAUAAAAAUUUGAAAUUACGAUUAAUAAUGAUCAUUUCUUAGAUCUCUCUCUCUCUCUCCGAAUUGAAUGCUUGGUUAGAAGAAAUAUCAUCGUAGAUAUAAUAUUAAAAGCAAACAUACACAGACAGAAGCAAUUUUUUCAGAAAACUAAUAAUUGAUUUACUAAUCAAAACAGUACGUAUAAUCAAUAUUUAAAGAAUAGCAUUAAUUGUAAAUAUAAUAAUAUAAACUUUAUGAAUAAUUUUACAAAAGUGUCAAAUAAAAUUUCAUUAACUUAAAACAAAAAAUAAAGAUAUAUAAUUUAAAGAAACAUUCUCUAUUUAUGAAAAAAUGUCUCUUUUAUUAUAAAGUUUAAUAAAUGACUAUUAUGGAUUAAAUAUCAACUUUUUGAUCAAUUUUUGAAAUGCGAAAGAAGGUAUUCUAUUUUGUUUGACUCGAAAAAACCAUUCUUCAAUAGAAAAGAUUUUUUUAGAAUAAUAGACAAUAGAAAAAUAUUGUAUUAAGAUGCAACUUUGUAAUACACAUAUUUAUUAAUUUUUGUACAUUAUAAUGGUAUUUUUUACAUAUAUAUUAUUGCAGACUAUCAAGAUUGAUGAUAUAUAAUUGACAUUAAAUUAAGAAUUGUAAAUUUCUGCGAAAGUAAUUAAGAGUUACUGAUCUAAAACACUAAAAAAAUUUUUUUAAUUUAUAUAAGGUUAUGCGAUGACUGAAGUAGAAACGAUAUUAUAAAUUGAAAAUUAAUGAAAUGAUAUUAUUUUAAAUAUUCUAAUUUUAUUGUAAUCUUCCGAUGCACGACCUUAUAUAAACCUAAUUAAGACAAUUUUUUAUUUUUUUGGAUCAAUUAAUAUCACUUCCGCAAAGGGAAUCUAUAGUCCUCACUUUAAUGCUAUUUAUUAGACAGUGCGCAAUAAUAGAAAAAUACGAUUACAAUCUACAAAAAUUAUAUCGUGAGUCUUGUUUGAAAACAUUUUCAUCGCGAGGAAAAUUUUAUUUCAAAAGUUUAAUUUAUUUUAAAAAAAGGUAUCUAUAAACUACAGCUUUUUAGUAAAAUUUUUCUUAGAGAAGAAGUUUUGGAACGUAAUGUUAAGGCUCCUGGCCCCUCACCGCAACUUAUUUGAAUUUGUGACAUCAUAGGUGAGAAAUGAUACAUUGACAACCCAAUUUUUGCAUCCGUGUCAUACCGUAAUUAUUCACUAAAUCCUGGUGCUGUAACUUGUGACGUGCUUAUGAAAUCUUCAAAAUAUGACAAAUGCUAACUAUAGUAACUAUACACAUAAAAGAAAGAUUUCUCUCUCUAUACGACAGGCAAAAAUUGGUUCUGUAUCACAUUUAUUUUACGGUUACGUAUUAGUUAUUAGGGAAAUUAAUAUUCGCCAUAUUUUAGGAUAUUUUUAUUUGCAAAUGGCACGAAGGCAAAAAUUAAGUUGUCGAUAUGUCACUUCUCGCCUUUAAUGUUACAAAUUCGAUAUGGCUACGGUGAGAGAUCAGGAGUCUUUUAAUAAAGAGAUAAAGUGUCUGAUUGGUUGCUGUCUCGCAAAAAGAUGAAAUAAGUCUCCAGCUUGUCUGCCUUUCAUUCUACACGCCUUGCCUUCCCUUCCACUAUAAUCGCCAGUCCAUUCUAUAUGUUGAUGUUCAAAACUCUUCUAUAAAAAAUUUCUUAAAAAAGGUUUUUUUAGACCCAACCAAGUAGAAUACUCCCUUAAUUCGAUUCUCUGGUAUAAACAUCUACUUGAUUGACUUUUACUAAAUUUUCUUUUAUAUAUAAUUAUAUAUUGGAUACAACUUUAGAGCAAUUUUAAUUGGAUAUGGUAAUACGGCUUAUAAUCCUUAUUUAGAAUCAAGUAUAUAUACGUUUCACAAAGUUACGCCAGGAUAAUGUAUUCGCAUAUGUACAUAAAAACAGAAUCUAUAAUUACAAGUGACUCUCGACGUAUGUGUGUGAAUUCUACGUCCUAGUCUAAUGCCAAUGCAGGGCAAUUGCGGAAUAGCGUGCGCGCGUGCAAAGUCGUGUAUGCACAAAGAAUACAGAUAGAUCCUGCGACCGACUGCAGUAACAUGCGUCAACAUCGAUAAUCGUUUCACAAUACGCGGCCUUGACGAUGCUCGUGUAGCUACCGAUCGGAUCGUCUAAAAAUAGGAGAAGCUUGUGUGCGCGCGCGCGCGGACACUCACGGGCAACAACAUUAACAUCAUCUCUUACACGAGUCGUUAACUCUGGAAUGACCGGUGGUCGCUUGCGAAUCCAUCUAUCUAGCCUGUAAUAAUACCCCUGCGUCUUUCCGCCUAUACCUCACCACUUAUUUUUAGGUCGUAUAUAUAACAUCUUGCUCACGUUCCUCUCUUUCUUUUCCUCUCUUCGUUCACUUCUCGAUUCGAUAAUCAACGACAGCGGAAUAGAAUGUCGAAAAUAAUAUUGGGCGUUUCGAACGGGAACUAUAUAUAGGAGAUGAUGCGUCAGCAACAAGUGAGGCCUGCGGACGUAAGAGGGAAUCGGGGGUGACGACGGAGGUUUGGGGAGAGGGGCAGGACGAAAUAGAAAAUAUACUGAACGAUGAAUGAAACCUCCGCAUUGACGUCGCUAAGACGUGCCAGACGAUGUCGAAAUUAUCCAAUUCGUACUGGGACUCUGCUUUUGAAUGCAUCUCCGGAGACGGCGAAGAUAGGGACUUGAGGUGCGACGAGAACCGAAAUACGCGGAAGAUAUCUGAAAAUAUCAUCAAUUGCUCCGGGAAUAUACUAUAUCGACUUAGCCGACGUAUGAUGUCGAUGUCGACGUAUCGUGGCGCGGGCGUGAGAAGCAAAACGCAACUAGAAGCUGUGGCGUAAUUUCAGCAAGAAUAAUUUCUCGUGUAUUAAUACUUUGAGAUCCAGGUGCUAUGAUGUUUUCUCUUCAUUCAUGUGGAAAUAAGCCAGAAGAGCUUAGACAACAUUUUCUAAUUUUGAAGAAAGAGAUGUACAAAUGCUGAGAACGAAAGGACGGGGAACGGGGACUGUGAGCUGGUUUUGAGACACACUAGAUCUUAUUCAACCAACUGGCUGCCAGUAUUUCAUUCAUAUUAUUAUCCUGGCCCGGUGGGAUCUGCUUUGAGUUAUUUUGGUUUAUUCGUUACGUCGGAUGCUUAAAAAAUGUACAUUGCCUUGUCGAUGAAUACGAACUAUCAUCGUUGGAUCGAUUAAUUUGUCAAUUAUAUAGAACAAACUUUAAUUAUAUUUAUUUAGAAAAAAUUAAAGACAAUAUUUUCAAAAAAUAUGUGUUUAAUGUAAGAAAAAAAUAUAUCAUUCUAACUUUACUUAAAAAAAAAAACCCGAUUAUUAAAAUAGGGAAACACAAUCAGGAUACAAUAAGACCGAUUUCUUUUAAACUCUGUGUGACACCACUGCAUAAUGGUUUGAAGGAAAACAGGAAUUGCUCUCUUUUUACCGGCUUAUUAAAAUAAAUUUAAAAAAUAAACUUUAUUAAAAAAACUGUGUUUUGCUAUACAAUUAUAUUGUAGAAUAUGUAAAUGUAAUGUCCGUACACACAACCCUUUCAUGGAUUGCAGUACUGAUAAUCUAUAAUAUAUAUAAUGUAAACUAUACAGCAGGCCUGCGGCUGCACUUUUCAUUGACAGUUAUUUUACAUAAGAAUUGUUUUCAAACGUAUGUAAAAUAAACAUCUUUAAAAUGUCCAAAUAUAAAUAUAUUUUGUACCUCCAAUAUUCCUAAAAAUUGUAUAUUACAUCCAUGGAUAUUUGGAUAAAAUCGGAUGUUAUGUCCAUUAAAUGUUAUGUGUUGUCUGGGUUAAUAUUUUUAAGUCAUGUUUUAAAGCAACCAGCCAGUCUUUAUUUUAUUUAAACAAAAAUUCUUUAAAUUAGCAUCAUACAUCAUAACAUUUCGCUCGUGUUUCUUUGAUAUUGAAAAAAAGUAAUUUGGUACGUCAUAUAUUUGUUAUCUGCUAAAUAAUUUAUAAAUGGACAUAAUAUACACUUCGUGCAACCGUAAAAGUUAAAAAUUUAUAUCCUGAUCGCCCGCUGAUCAAAAUAAAUAAAUUGCUGUUUGCGAAAUAGAAUAAGGAUCAAUAUGAUUUUGAAUUUUGUGGACGAUAAGAGAAAUAAUUUAUCAAUCAUUUUUUUCAAUACUGUAUUCGGUGUAUAUUCGAUAAAAUCAAUAAUAGUUAUAUGUUUUAUUUCUGACUGCGCGUAUGCAUUUUGUUACCGUGCAGUUUUGCAAGUUAUCUUUACUGUGAUAAAUAUAAACACAACAGAAAUAAAGAGAAAAACAAAAUAUGAGAAGAUAAAGAGAAGAAAUACAGGCAGUUAAUUAAAGCCUGCAUAAUUACAUAUGACGUUACAUAAUUAUUCAAUGCUUAAUUAAAAGCUCGCGGCGAUGUGACUGUCUGGUUUAACGACGCCUAAAUUUAAUUAUUAUGAUUAUUCGGACUUAUUAAUUUUGUUUUAUAUGCUGACGAUACUGACAGCUGGAUACACAGAUGUGCUUCCUUUAUGAUAUGAUGACAAUUCUGAUUUAAAAUAAUUGCUAAGCAAUAUAUUUAAUUUUGCAUCGGCUGAUAUAUCGGUUACUAAUGAAAAUAGAUAUAUAACAUACAGUGACAAUAAAAUGGAAAAAAUGACAAGACAAAUGUCUACGCACAAAAUAUAAAUUUAUAAACGUUACGAGUCUUCAAAUAUGUCUAAAUAUUUAGAAACUUAAUUUUGACUCGCGUAAAAUUUUCCAUAUUGUGGAUGCAGUGAAAUGUAUUCCGAGUUAAUUAUUGAGUAUCGCGAGUAAACACAAAGAUAAUUUUCUUGAACGUAUCAGAAUUACAUCAAUUAUAUUCAAUAAGUAUUUGGAUGAUUUCGUAUGUAUCGUAUCAACAUCAUUUGCGUAACAGCUGAUAAAACAGCUUGAUCUUAAUUUUAUUAUUGAUCGCUUAUAAUAAUCAUACUUUUACAAACGGAUGUAAAAGAUGGAAUAUCAAAUUUGAAGCUAAUAAAGUGGAUUAAGUACAUUUUGUUCUCAGAAUAAUAUUAAUUAGAUUUCUGUUAAUUAAUUUAAUUGCAAUUAUAUUUACUUCUUCGCAAAGAUUAUUACAUAAUAUUUUUAUUCGUACGUGCUUUUAUUCAACAUAAUGUAUAAUAAUGACUUCAUUGAUACCAUUGUAAUAACCGAACAUUUUCAGAAGAAAAGGGGAAACAACAAAGUAUAUUUUAUCGAUCAUCUACAUGUAGUUAAUUCGCAACUCAUUACUUAAUAAAAGCGAGAUAUAUUUUUAACUUCAGCUUCCCUAUAAAUUCUAACCUAUAAGGAUAUUAAAAAUAUAACGUUCGCGACACACGA